RNAcentral lists this ribosomal RNA (362 nucleotides) under uncultured bacterium. Its description in RNAcentral is "bacterial SSU rRNA". It matches the Rfam family "Bacterial small subunit ribosomal RNA", at positions 132 to 507 of the family's 1533-position model. The record is from RNAcentral.
UUCACUUUGGGAUAACUCGGGAAACCGGUGCUAAUACCGAAUGCGACCACUUCAGGCAUCUGACGGUGGUGGAAAGUUCCGGCGGUGAAGGAUGAGCUCGCGGCCUAUCAGCUUGUUGGUGAGGUAAUGGGCUCACCAAGGCUUCGACGGGUAGCCGGCCUGAGAGGGUGACCGGCCACACUGGGACUGAGACACGGCCCAGACUCCUACGGGAGGCAGCAGUGGGGAAUAUUGGACAAUGGGCGAAAGCCUGAUCCAGCAACGCCGCGUGAGGGAUGACGGCCUUCGGGUUGUAAACCUCUUUCAGCAGGGACGAAGCGAAAGUGACGGUACCUGCAAAAGAAGCACCGGCCAACUACGUG